CGCUGGGUAGAGCAGUUGGCAGCUCGUCGGGCUCAUAACCCGGAGGCCGCAGGUUCAAGUCCUGCCCCAGCUA
This 73-nucleotide transfer RNA is filed under the name Treponema sp. RNAcentral's name for it is "tRNA-Met". It matches the Rfam family "tRNA". Rfam says of the family: Transfer RNA (tRNA) molecules are approximately 80 nucleotides in length. Their secondary structure includes four short double-helical elements and three loops (D, anti-codon, and T loops). The record is from RNAcentral. Lineage: Bacteria; Pseudomonadati; Spirochaetota; Spirochaetia; Treponematales; Treponemataceae. RNAcentral also lists the same sequence under 2 other names.